Molecule: long non-coding RNA, 427 nt
Filed under: Phascolarctos cinereus (koala)
Lineage: Eukaryota; Metazoa; Chordata; Mammalia; Diprotodontia; Phascolarctidae
Description: lncRNA (ENSPCIG00000023549.2)
Source: RNAcentral
AUGUCAUCAAGCAGAAACACAAGGGUUAACAAACAGCAUUAGUGAGACACCCUGCAAGAAGUGAAACAUUAGCCCAAUAGACAGCAGCAAGACCCAGUGGGAUCACACCGGCAGCUCUACAGCACUGUUGUGAGUUUUCCUGGCUGUAUGGUUGCCCUCCAUAGCCUGUAAGCCACCAUGACGAGACAUUAUGGUUCAUCUGUCCUGGGAAGGUGACCUUUUGAGAACUACUGGUCUACAAACCGCAAACCACAAGAUUUUUGUAUCCUAUUUGAGAUAUGGCUCCAGCUCUCAUCUACCUUGAAGACCAGAUAUGAGUCCAGUGAAUAAUCACGCCUCAGGUACUAAAUCACUAAUGCUGUCUCACUCUGUGUUCAACAGAUAAAAUUAUACUAAAGACCAGGCAAGGGAGAUGCAUUUUAACUAG